UCCAAACUUUGUCGGCUCGGCUCGGCUCGGCUGUGCGAGGCGAAGCGGCGGCAGCGGCAGCAGCAGCGGCAGGAUCGAUUAUUUGAUUUCUCACUUCUUUGCCUGUUGCAAUGCGGCAACUUCAGCUCCUCUUUCCACCCCCGCGGGCACCUCGCGUCCCCCCGAAAAACAACAACAAACCACCCCCCUCCCCCCAGCCACAAUCACACGCGCAACAGUUGCGGGGGGGGGGGGACGCGCAAACCGAGGCACAGGGGGGAAAACGCCCCGCAGCCGCCCCCGGCCCUGCCCGCGCCCCCCGCUCGCCGCCUUUGUGUGCUCGGCAAAGUUUGCAGGCGCCCUGCAGUUUAAGGCCGGUUCAGACUUUCCCAAUAAAGAAUAAUGGGGGGGACAAAAAUUGCACGGACCGCCCGGAGCUCCUUAUAUCUCGGGGUGGGGGAGGGCGGGGGGGACAACCCGAGUGUCCGGAAAAAAAAGCAGGAGGGCAGAAGAAAGGCGCUCGGGGGAGCACGCUUUUUUUUUUUUGUAAUUUUUUUUUUUUAAUGCUCCUUGCAGCCCCCUCCCGGCCCUGUCUCUCCCUCUCUCUCUCUCUCUCUCUCUCUUUUUAAUUUCCUCCCCUUCCCUGAUCUCUCGCAAACGGCGCUGUCAGGAGCGGGGCGAGGAGUCUUUAUUAUUAUUAUUGUUGUUAUUUUUAGGAGAGAGGAGCAGGUCUCCUGCCUUCCCCUUCCACCCGGCACCCCUCCUCCCCCCUCCCCUCCUUUUUUAAAAGCUAAUGUCGCUCGCAGGCUGGCUCCUUCCCGCUGCCUUGCAGCCGUCCGGGGUUGUGUCCUCCUCCUCCUGCACAAAUGCACUUCUGAAAACAAGCUCUCGCCAGCCUCCCUCUCUUUUCUUUGUCCUGGCUCCUUUUCCUCCUCCUGAUCUUGCUGCUGGGGCUGCAGUGCAGACACACAUAAUAAAGCCAGGCUUGGCUGGAAAUGUAGCUGAGUCCCAGCAGGAGGAUGUGAGGAGUGGAGUCCCGGCGGGGGAGCGCUCUGAUCCCGUAGGGAGCCCCGCACAGCCUGGGCUGAUCAGACGGAGAGAGAGCCAACAGCACCGAGCCAUGGACAGCCCUGGAAAUACAGCUCGGAUCGCCCGCAAAACACGGACUCCGCAGGGCGGAGGAGCGAAGGCGCCGGAUUGGAGUCGCCGGGCGGGAGGCGACUCGGCGGAGCCGCGGCCCGGGCUGGAGCGCGCAGCGCCGCGCGGCUCCCGCCUUCGCUCCCGCCCCAGCCUCGCCGCUGCCCCUUGGCGCUCGCUUCCAGGCCCGGGCCAGUGCCACUACCUCAGCACAAACUUUCCGGGAGCCGGGGCCUGCUGGCGCUGAGGGAGGGGGGCUCCCUGCCUCCCCGUCUGGCCGGGUCGAUGCCAGGCCGCAGCGCUCGAGGGGAGCUCCGCUGCCUUCCUGGUGCCUACCGCCGCCCCCCGCUUGCUGGAGACCAGACGACACCCAAAGGCUUUUCAGAAAAGGAAGACGAGCACGGAUUCCUGCAAAGCCCCAGGAAUGGAAAUGAGCUCACCCACCAGCUCCCCUCCCUCCCCGGGAUCUGGAUGAUGGCAACAACAAGGGGCAGUCAGGCAUUUCGUUGGAGCAGGGCUUGCCAUGACUUCACAACUUUCUUCCCUCUCGCCUCCUCAGAACAGCUUUUUUCAUGCUGGAGGUGGUGGGUGUUUCAAAACAAUGCGCUGCUGCUGCAGGAGGACUCUGAGCCCCUAGUUUAGCUGGGACACAGAUUUCCCUUAACAGUAGCAGGCAUGAGCCUGAGUCAACUGCAAAGUUUGUGCCAAACCUCCACAGCCCAGCCAGUGGUCCCCACCCCACCCUCCCCUCCCCCUGAGCUCCCCUCAGAAAGCUGCCUCUGACUAUAUGUGCUGAUACUGGAUCCUGACUGAUUAGGAUACAAUAGAAAUGUUAUCAGUCUUUCAUGAUCAAUAAGUUCAGCCUUAAAGACAGGAAAAGGAAAACUCAUUCCCCACGGUUACUAGUUACCCAGGGCAACCUGAAACCAUAAAAAAACCUGUAUCCCACUGAGAUAAAUUACAUGAUCUUCUUGCAAUGGGAACAGGUAAAUAUUUCUUUGAUUAUUUUAGGGCAAGAUCAGAAGCCACAUUUAAUUAAUAAUGCCUUUAAAUUAAAGGAGUGAGAAAUCUUCCAGGAUUCCUGGUCUACUCUCAGCCUGAAAAGGUGGAUUCUGGGUUCCUGAUUUAUUCUGAGAUCUUUUUAAAUGCCCUUGAGUCAGAUGCAUUUAUAUUUUUUGUUUCCUUUGAUCUAUAUCCGGGAGGAGAGAAGACAAAGCAAUCUCCUAAGAAUACUAAUAAAGUAAUUGAAAAAGAUCUGCCAAUAUUGGAGUUCACCAGCUCCUGGUGAAAUUAUUUUCCAUGAACUUUCUUACUCUUCCUAUUUUGGGGGGAAACUGGAAGUUUCAGAUUUAUUUACUUUAUCUUUCUAAAUAUGUUAAAUUAGGCAGGAACUAGAAUUCCUGGGACUUGCUCUGUUGGAAGGUGUUUCUUCCAGAAAAUCCUAAAUAUGUUCAUCUCACGUUACAGAGCAUUUGAUGUUGAGCAACAACUGGAAUUGCUAAACAAGGACUGAUGAGUUUCUUCUGCAUUUUUAAUAGAUUACAUUUACAGUGUUUAAGGAACAUGGCACACCUAUAACUUCACCUAUAACUUCAUUCACAAUAUGAACUGUUUCCAAGGUUUCUCUCUCAUGUGCGUGAUGAACUUGAGCCAUCAUUAAAGCCAGUCAGCCAACGCACCAAUCAACCUUCCUUCAAAAUAGAAGAUAUCUUUAGUAGAGUGAAACCAUUAAUAUGUAGUUGCUAGAAUGAUGGAAGCAUUAGAGAUGCCUAAACCAGGUACUGCGGACCAGAUCCACAGCUAGAGUCGGCAGUACUCCAUCAUUUUGAUUGAGUUAACCCACCUGGUCCUAUAUCUGUAGUUCAAAGAUUAACACAACACUGUGACAUAGUUUAAAUAAAGGAUUUUUAGAUAGUG
Long non-coding RNA from Gavialis gangeticus (Gharial), 3033 nucleotides. RefSeq lists it as uncharacterized. The transcript is spliced from 2 exons. Lineage: Eukaryota; Metazoa; Chordata; Crocodylia; Gavialidae. The record is from RefSeq and is a predicted model, not a curated record.